RNAcentral lists this ribosomal RNA (376 nucleotides) under uncultured organism. RNAcentral's name for it is "partial 16S ribosomal RNA". It matches the Rfam family "Bacterial small subunit ribosomal RNA", at positions 527 to 897 of the family's 1533-position model. The record is from RNAcentral.
GUAGGUGGCAAGCGUUGUCCGGGAAUUAUUGGGCGUAAAGCGCGCGCAGGCGGUCCUUUAAGGUCUGAUGUGAAAGCCCACGGGCUCAACCGUGGAGGGUCAUUGGAAACUGGGGGACUUGAGUACAGAAGAGGAAAGCGGAAUUCCACGUGUAGCGGUGAAAUGCGUAGAGAUGUGGAGGAACACCAGUGGCGAAGGCGGCUUUCUGGUCUGUAACUGACGCUGAGGCGCGAAAGCGUGGGGAGCAAACAGGAUUAGAUACCCUGGUAGUCCACGCCGUAAACGAUGAGUGCUAAGUGUUAGGGGGUUUCCGCCCCUUAGUGCUGCAGCUAACGCAUUAAGCACUCCGCCUGGGGAGUACGGCCGCAAAGGCUGA